RNAcentral lists this ribosomal RNA (506 nucleotides) under uncultured bacterium. RNAcentral describes it as "partial 16S ribosomal RNA". It matches the Rfam family "Bacterial small subunit ribosomal RNA", at positions 29 to 523 of the family's 1533-position model. The record is from RNAcentral.
AGUGAACGCUGGCGGUAGGCCUAACACAUGCAAGUCGAACGGCAGCACAGGAGAGCUUGCUCUCUGGGUGGCGAGUGGCGGACGGGUGAGGAAUACAUCGGAAUCUACUCUGUCGUGGGGGAUAACGUAGGGACACUUACGCUAAUACCGCAUACGACCUACGGGUGAAAGCAGGGGAUCUUCGGACCUUGCGCGAUUGAAUGAGCCGAUGUCGGAUUAGCUAGUUGGCGGGGUAAAGGCCCACCAAGGCGACGAUCCGUAGCUGGUCUGAGAGGAUGAUCAGCCACACUGGAACUGAGACACGGUCCAGACUCCUACGGGAGGCAGCAGUGGGGAAUAUUGGACAAUGGGCGCAAGCCUGAUCCAGCCAUACCGCGUGGGUGAAGAAGGCCUUCGGGUUGUAAAGCCCUUUUGUUGGGAAAGAAAUCCAGCUGGCUAAUACCCGGUUGGGAUGACGGUACCCAAAGAAUAAGCACCGGCUAACCUCGUGCCAGCCGCCGCCGUAA